This 259-nucleotide small nuclear RNA is filed under the name Spermophilus dauricus (Daurian ground squirrel). Its description in RNAcentral is "7SK RNA (ENSSDAG00000001880.1)". It matches the Rfam family "7SK RNA". From Rfam's summary of the family: 7SK was discovered as an abundant small nuclear RNA in the mid-70s but a possible function has only recently been suggested. Two independent studies have found that 7SK RNA binds the CDK9/cyclin T complex (known as elongation factor P-TEFb). Lineage: Eukaryota; Metazoa; Chordata; Mammalia; Rodentia; Sciuridae. The record is from RNAcentral.
AGAUAUAAGAGUGAUCUGGUUGCAACAUUUGUUACCCAUUGAUCACUAUGGUUGAUGUGGUUGACCUGGGUGGCUAGAUGGGUAUCCACUUUCUCCCUCACUGCUCUAUAUGUGGCCCAAUAGAAGAAGACUCUUCCUCUGUCAGUAGUAUAUGAGAAACUGCACUCUCUAGCUACAACCUCCAAAUGGUGUCCAAUGUAUGUAAACAAGAUAAUUAAGACAAUUAUAUUGGGCUCUGGGUAUAGCUCAUGCCUAGCAU